CCUCGGGAGGCAGCAGUGGAGGAAUAUUGGACAAUGGGCGCAAGCCUGAUCCAGCCAUGCCGCGUGCAGGAAGACUGCCCUAUGGGUUGUAAACUGCUUUUAUACAGGAAGAAACCUUUCCACGUGUGGGGAGCUGACGGUACUGUAAGAAUAAGCAUCGGCUAACUCCGUGCCAGCAGCCGCGGUAAUACGGAGGAUGCAAGCGUUAUCCGGAAUCAUUGGGUUUAAAGGGUCCGUAGGUGGACAGAUAAGUCAGAGGUGAAAUCCUGCAGCUCAACUGUAGAAUUGCCUUUGAUACUGGUUGUCUUGAAUUAUUGUGAAGUGGUUAGAAUAAGUAGUGUAGCGGUGAAAUGCAUAGAUAUUACUUAGAAUACCAAUUGCGAAGGCAGAUCACUAACAAUAUAUUGACGCUGAGGGACGAAAGCGUGGGGAGCGAACAGGAUUAGAUACCCUGGUAGUCCACGCCGUAAACGAUGGAUACUAGCUGUUCGAUUUUCGGAUUGAGUGGCUAAGCGAAAGUGAUAAGUAUCCCACCUGGGGAGUACGUUCGCAAGAAUGAAACUCAAAGGAAUUGACGG
RNAcentral lists this ribosomal RNA (578 nucleotides) under uncultured bacterium. RNAcentral describes it as "bacterial SSU rRNA". It matches the Rfam family "Bacterial small subunit ribosomal RNA", at positions 339 to 916 of the family's 1533-position model. The record is from RNAcentral.